CCUAACCAUGCAAGUCGAACGAAACCUUCGGGACUAGUGGCGCACGGGUGCGUAACGCGUGGGAAUCUGCCCUUGGGUUCGGAAUAACACUUAGAAAUGACUGCUAAUACCGGAUGAUGACUAAAGUCCAAAGAUUUAUCGCCGAAGGAUGAGCCCGCGUAGGAUUAGCUAGUUGGUGAGGUAAAGGCUCACCAAGGCGACGAUCCUUAGCUGGUCUGAGAGGAUGAUCAGCCACACUGGGACUGAGACACGGCCCAGACUCCUACGGGAGGCAGCAGUGGGGAAUAUUGGACAAUGGGCGAAAGCCUGAUCCAGCAAUGCCGCGUGAGUGAUGAAGGCCUCAGGGUUGUAAAGCUCUUUUACCCGGGCAUGAUAAUGACAGUACCGGGAGAAUAAGCCCCGGCUAACUCCGUGCCAGCAGCCGCGGUAAU
Molecule: ribosomal RNA, 431 nt
Filed under: uncultured Sphingomonas sp.
Lineage: Bacteria; Pseudomonadati; Pseudomonadota; Alphaproteobacteria; Sphingomonadales; Sphingomonadaceae
Description: bacterial SSU rRNA
Rfam family: Bacterial small subunit ribosomal RNA
Source: RNAcentral